GAUGAACGCUGGCGGCGUGCCUAAUACAUGCAAGUCGAGCGAAUGGAUUGAGAGCUUGCUCUUAUGAAGUUAGCGGCGGACGGGUGAGUAACACGUGGGUAACCUGCCCAUAAGACUGGGAUAACUCCGGGAAACCGGGGCUAAUACCGGAUAACAUUUUGAACCGCAUGGUUCGAAAUUGAAAGGCGGCCUCGGCUGUCACUUAUGGAUGGACCCGGGUCGCAGUAGCUAGUUGGUGAAGUAACGGCUCACCAAGGCAACGAUGCGUAGCCGACCUGAGAGGGUGAUCGGCCACACUGGGACUGAGACACGGCCCAGACUCCUACGGGAGGCAGCAGUAGGGAAUCUUCCGCAAUGGACGAAAGUCUGACGGAGCAACGCCGCGUGAGUGAUGAAGGCUUUCGGGUCGUAAAACUCUGUUGUUAGGGAAGAACAAGUGCUAGUUGAAUAAGCUGGCACCUUGACGGUACCUAACCAGAAAGCCACGGCUAACUACGUGCCAGCAGCCGCAGUAA
Molecule: ribosomal RNA, 515 nt
Filed under: uncultured bacterium
Lineage: Bacteria
Description: partial 16S ribosomal RNA
Rfam family: Bacterial small subunit ribosomal RNA
Source: RNAcentral